This 1458-nucleotide ribosomal RNA is filed under the name metagenome. Its description in RNAcentral is "bacterial SSU rRNA". It matches the Rfam family "Bacterial small subunit ribosomal RNA". The record is from RNAcentral.
AGAGUUUGAUCCUGGCUCAGGAUGAACGCUGGCGGCGUGCCUAACACAUGUAAGUCGAACGAUGAAGCCCGCUUUUAGUGGGUGGAUUAGUGGCGAACGGGUGAGUAACACGUAGGUGACCUGCCCUAGAGAGGAGAAUAACCAUGCGAAAGCGUGGCUAAUACUCCAUACGCUCGGUUAUUCGUUUAGCCGAGUAAAGCUACGGCGCUCUGGGAGGGGCCUGCGGCCCAUCAGCUAGUUGGUAGGGUAAUGGCCUACCAAGGCUAUGACGGGUAGCUGGUCUGAGAGGACGAUCAGCCACAAUGGGACUGAAACACGGCCCAUACUCCUACGGGAGGCAGCAGUGAGGAAUAUUGGACAAUCAACGAAAGUUGGAUCCAGCAACGCCGCGUGGAUGAUGAAGGCCUUCGGGUUGUAAAAUCCUUUUAAGAGGGAAGAGUAAGGACGGUACCUCUUGAAUAAGUCUCGGCUAACUACGUGCCAGCAGCCGCGGUAACACGUAGGAGGCUAGCGUUAUCCGGAUUUAUUGGGCGUAAAGCGCGCGCAGGCGGCUAGGUAAGUCGGGUGUGAAAGCCCCAGACUCAAUUUGGGGAGGUCACUCGAUACUGCUUGGCUUGAGAGCGGGAGAGGGAAGUAGAAUUCUGGGUGUAGUGGUGAAAUGCGUAGAUAUCCAGAGGAAUACCAGUGGCGAAGGCGGCUUCCUGGCCCGUUUCUGACGCUGAGGCGCGAAAGCGUGGGUAGCGAACGGAAUUAGAAACUCCGGUAGUCCACGCCGUAAACGAUGGGUACUAGGUGUGGGGAGUAUUAACCCUCUCCGUGCCGCAGCAAACGCGUUAAGUACCCCGCCUGCAGACUACGGCCGCAAGGCUAAAACGCAAAGGAAUUGACGGGGGCCCGCACAAGCAGCGGAGCGUGUGGUUCAAUUCGAAGAUACACGAAGAACCUUACCUGGGUUUGACAUGUUGGUAGUAGUGAAGCGAAAGUGGAACGAUCCUUCGGGAAGCCAUCACAGGUGCUGCAUGGCUGUCGUCAGCUCGUGCCGUGAGGUGUUGGGUUAAGUCCUGUAACGAGCGCAACCCUUACUGCCAGUUACAAGUGUCUGGCGGAACUGCCGGUGAUAAACCGGAGGAAGGUGAGGAUGACGUCAAGUCAGCAUGGCCUUUAUAUCCAGGGCUACACACACGCUACAAUGGCCGGCACAAUGGGUCGCCAAGCCGCGAGGCGGAGCUAAUCCUGAAAGUCGGUCUCAGUUCGGAUUGUAGGCUGCAACCCGCCUGCAUGAAGUUGGAGUUGCUAGUAACCGCGCGUCAGCAAUAGUGCGGUGAAUACGUUCCCGGGCCUUGUACACACCGCCCGUCACGUCAUGGGAGUCGAUCACACCUGAAGUCGGUGGGCUAACCUAACGGAGGCAGCUGUCGAAGGUGGGGUUGGCGACUGGGACGAAGUCGUAACAAGGUA